This 292-nucleotide ribosomal RNA is filed under the name uncultured bacterium. RNAcentral's name for it is "partial 16S ribosomal RNA". It matches the Rfam family "Bacterial small subunit ribosomal RNA", at positions 505 to 796 of the family's 1533-position model. The record is from RNAcentral.
GUUUCAGCAGCCGCGGUAAGACAGAGGGUGCAAACGUUGUUCGGAAUUACUGGGCGUAAAGCGUGUGUAGGCGGCCACGUAAGUCGGAUGUGAAAGCCCCGGGCUCAACCCGGGAAGUGCACUCGAUACUGCGUGGCUUGAGUACUGGAGAGGUUGGUGGAAUUCUCGGUGUAGAGGUGAAAUUCGUAGAUAUCGAGAGGAACACCGGUGGCGAAGGCGGCCAACUGGACAGAUACUGACGCUGAGACACGAAAGCGUGGGUAGCAAACAGGAUUAGAAACCCGAGUAGUCC